This 301-nucleotide ribosomal RNA is filed under the name uncultured bacterium. RNAcentral's name for it is "partial 16S ribosomal RNA". It matches the Rfam family "Bacterial small subunit ribosomal RNA", at positions 509 to 807 of the family's 1533-position model. The record is from RNAcentral.
CAGCAGCCGCGGUAAAACAGAGGAUGCAAGCGUUAUCCGGAAUGAUUGGGCGUAAAGCGUCUGUAGGUGGCUUUUCAAGUCCGCCGUCAAAUCCCAGGGCUCAACCCUGGACAGGCGGUGGAAACUACCAAGCUGGAGUACGGUAGGGGCAGAGGGAAUUUCCAGUGGAGCGGUGAAAUGCGUUGAGAUCGGAAAGAACACCAACAGCGAAAGCACUCUGCUGGGCCGACACUAACGCUGAGAGACGAAAGCUAGGGGAGCAAAUGGGAUUAGAUACCCCCGUAGUCCCUGUCUCUUAUAC